CGAAAUGCGAUAAGUAAUGUGAAUUGCAGAAUUCCGUGAAUCAUCGAAUCUUUGAACGCACAUUGCGCCCUCUGGCAUUCCGGGGGGGAUGCCUGUCCGAGCGUCAUUACGCACCCUCAAGCCCGGCUUGUGUGAUGGGCCCCGGCGUCUCGUUCGCGAGACGGGCCCGAAAGGCAGCGGCGGCGUCGACCCGAUGAGCCCGAGCGUAUGGGGACUUCUGUCACACGUUCGCGGUGCGGACCGGCGCCUGCUUGACUUUUCUGAUUAUCCAGGUUGACCUCGGAUCAGGUAGGGAUACCCGCUGAACUUAAGC
This 313-nucleotide unclassified non-coding RNA is filed under the name plant metagenome. RNAcentral's name for it is "partial contains 5.8S ribosomal RNA, internal transcribed spacer 2, and large subunit ribosomal RNA". The stretch from base 1 to 106 matches the Rfam family "5.8S ribosomal RNA", at positions 49 to 154 of the family's 154-position model. The record is from RNAcentral.